GGGUUGUCAUGCCAAUGGCACUGCCCGGUAGCUAAAUGCGGAAGAGAUAAGUGCUGAAAGCAUCUAAGCACGAAACUUGCCCCGAGAUGAGUUCUCCCUGAGACUAUAAGUCUCCUGAAGGAACGUUGAAGACGACGACGUUGAUAGGCCGGGUGUGUAAGCGCAGCGAUGCGUUGAGCUAACCGGUACUAAUGAACCGUGAGGCUUAACCUU
RNAcentral lists this ribosomal RNA (213 nucleotides) under Klebsiella pneumoniae. RNAcentral describes it as "partial 23S ribosomal RNA". It matches the Rfam family "Bacterial large subunit ribosomal RNA", at positions 2718 to 2925 of the family's 2925-position model. The record is from RNAcentral. RNAcentral also lists the same sequence under 30 other names. Lineage: Bacteria; Pseudomonadati; Pseudomonadota; Gammaproteobacteria; Enterobacterales; Enterobacteriaceae.